AACAAGGCGUACCUGCGGACCUGCGGAGGGAUCAUUACAAGUGACCCCGGUCUAACCACCGGGAUGUUCAUAACCCUUUGUUGUCCGACUCUGUUGCCUCCGGGGCGACCCUGCCUUCGGGCGGGGGCUCCGGGUGGACACUUCAAACUCUUGCGUAACUUUGCAGUCUGAGUAAAUUUAAUUAAUAAAUUAAAACUUUUAACAAUGGAUCU
RNAcentral lists this unclassified non-coding RNA (212 nucleotides) under soil metagenome. Its description in RNAcentral is "partial contains 5.8S ribosomal RNA, internal transcribed spacer 2, and large subunit ribosomal RNA". The record is from RNAcentral.